This 511-nucleotide ribosomal RNA is filed under the name uncultured bacterium. Its description in RNAcentral is "partial 16S ribosomal RNA". The record is from RNAcentral.
GGAGUUAGCCGGUGCUUCUUCUGCGAGUAACGUCACAGAUGUAAGGUAUUAACUUACACCCUUUCCUCCUCGCUGAAAGUGCUUUACAACCCGAAGGCCUUCUUCACACACGCGGCAUGGCUGCAUCAGGGUUUCCCCCAUUGUGCAAUAUUCCCCACUGCUGCCUCCCGUAGGAGUCUGGGCCGUGUCUCAGUCCCAGUGUGGCUGAUCAUCCUCUCAGACCAGCUAGAGAUCGUCGCCUAGGUGAGCCUUUACCUCACCUACUAGCUAAUCCCACCUGGGCUUAUCCAUCAGCGCAAGGCCCGAAGGUCCCCUGCUUUCCCCCGUAGGGCGUAUGCGGUAUUAGCAGUCGUUUCCAACUGUUAUCCCCCACAAAUGGGCAAAUUCCCAGGCAUUACUCACCCGUCCGCCGCUCGUCAUCUUCAAAAGCAAGCUUUUGAAAUGUUACCGCUCGACUUGCAUGUGUUAGGCCUGCCGCCAGCGUUCAAUCUGAGCCAGGAUCAAACUCUGA